GGCCUACCAUGAUGGUAACGGGUAACGGGGUGUUAGGGCACGACACUGAAGAGGGAGCCUGAGAAACGGCUACCACAUCCAAGGAAGGCAGCAGGCGCGCAAAUUACCCAAUCCCGACACGGGGAGGUAGUGACAAUAAAUAACAAUACAGGGUUCUUUUGGAUCUUAUAAUUGGAAUGAGUACAAUUUAAAUCUCUUAACGAGGAACAAUUGGAGGGCAAGUCUGGUGCCAGCAGCCGCGGUAAUUCCAGCUCCAAUAGCGUAUAUUAAAGUUGUUGCAGUUAAAAAGCUCGUAGUUGAAUUUCGGGAUCAAUAUUUCGGUCAUGCCGUUGGUAUGCACUGUUAUCAUUGAUUUCUCACCUUCUAAAGAACCGUAAUGCCAUUAAUUUGGUGUUACGGGGAAUUAGGACUGUUACCUUGAAAAAAUUAGAGUGUUUAAAGCAGGCUCACGCUUGAAUACAUUAGCAUGGAAUAAUGAAAUAGGACAUCCGAUUCUAUUUUGUUGGUUUCUAGGAUCGAUGUAAUGAUUAAUAGGGAUAGUUGGGGGCAUUAGUAUUCAAUUGUCARAGGUGAAAUUCUUGGAUUUAUUGAAGACUAACUACUGCGAAAGCAUUUGCCAAGGAUGUUUUCAUUAAUCAAGAACGAAAGUUAGGGGAUCGAAAACGAUCAGAUACCGUCGUAGUCUUAACCAUAAACUAUGCCGACUAGGGAUCAGAUGAUAUUAAUUUUUUAAUGACUCAUUCGG
Molecule: ribosomal RNA, 745 nt
Filed under: uncultured Glomeromycotina
Lineage: Eukaryota; Fungi; Glomeromycota
Description: SSU rRNA
Rfam family: Eukaryotic small subunit ribosomal RNA
Source: RNAcentral